Cucumis sativus (cucumber) is the source of this 699-nucleotide long non-coding RNA. RefSeq lists it as uncharacterized. The transcript has 2 exons. Lineage: Eukaryota; Viridiplantae; Streptophyta; Magnoliopsida; Cucurbitales; Cucurbitaceae. The record is from RefSeq and is a predicted model, not a curated record.
AAAAUAAAGAUGAAAGAUUAUCUAAUCGUUCACUUCACAUCCCUUCCUCACCUUUCCUCUUCAUCUUCUUCCUCAAGGUUCAGAAAUCCCUUAAAAAUGGCGUAACAAUCAUUUCUCCAUCUCUCCGCCGCUAAAAUCACUUUUCACUAUGAAUUCCAUUUUCUCCUCCAUUCAAUUCCGUCUUCUUCCAUCACCAAAUCCACGACAACCACAACAUAAUCUCCACAUCUUCCACCAAAUUUAUCUUCCUCCACAAAUAACCCACCGUUUCAGUUCAAUAAAGACCAAUUCAAUUCUUCCAACUUCUCUAAUUCUUGGAAACAGCACUAUUCCUCCGUCGCAAUCCGGCGACAUUUCAGUCCUCCUCCCGAUAAGCGGCGUGCUACUGAUUGCGUAUUUGCUAGCGAAUUUCAUUUUCCCGGAGUUUAUUAUGAAAUCAUACCGAUCUGAUGAUGAGAACGACGGGAAGGGUGGAGGUGGAAGAUGAAGAGAAUGAAGCGGUAGAAGGAGAUAAUGAAACUUGAAGAUUUAGCCAUAAAUUGAAUUGAAUUUAAGAUUUGUGCGUAAGAAAAUUGGGAUAAUGUGUAUUGGAAUAUUCAGUGAUUUGAUUUUCCGAUUUUGAUCGAAAAGAGAAGUUCUUGUAGUUUAUUUUUGCAAAAUUUCAUACAUAUUUGUGGAAAGGUAGAAUCUAACAAUGAA